This 459-nucleotide ribosomal RNA is filed under the name uncultured bacterium. Its description in RNAcentral is "partial 16S ribosomal RNA". It matches the Rfam family "Bacterial small subunit ribosomal RNA", at positions 338 to 795 of the family's 1533-position model. The record is from RNAcentral.
CCUACGGGAGGCAGCAGUGAGGAAUAUUGGUCAAUGGCCGUAAGGCUGAACCAGCCAAGUCGCGUGAAGGAAGAAGGAUCUAUGGUUUGUAAACUUCUUUUAUAGGGGAAUAAAGGUAUCCACGUGUGGAUAUUUGCAUGUACCCUAUGAAUAAGCAUCGGCUAACUCCGUGCCAGCAGCCGCGGUAAUACGGAGGAUGCGAGCGUUAUCCGGAUUUAUUGGGUUUAAAGGGUGCGUAGGUUGUUUUUUAAGUCAGCGGUGAAAGUUUGUGGCUCAACCAUAAAAUUGCCGUUGAAACUGGAAGACGUGAGUGUGUUUGAGGUAGGCGGAAUGCGUGGUGUAGCGGUGAAAUGCAUAGAUAUCACGCAGAACUCCGAUUGCGAAGGCAGCUUACUAAGCCAUAACUGACACUGAAGCACGAAAGCGUGGGGAUCAAACAGGAUUAGAUACCCGAGUGUC